UUACUGAUAAAAACCUAUUGGCUCGUAGAGGUAGUGUAGAGAUUCUCUACACUAGAGAACUGUGGAUAAACAUCAAUCAACCGGGACGAUUUUACGAUCUCACUUAUUCAAAACUAAAGACUCGGAGGAUCCAGUACUUGGAGUCUUUUAUUACUGUCAAUGAUUACAGACGAACCAGCUUAUUUAGAGGACGAAAAUCAUCCUGAUCAAGUUCCAUCACAGGAAAUGGUACGCAAGCCUCAAAAAAGUGCGUAGGUAACAUGAUGUUGAAAGAACGAGGAGAUUGGAAAAGAAAGAAGUAAAUUGAGAGCUAUACAGAUAAAUCUAAAAGUAAACAUAGAGGACAAUGAUGCAUUAGAGACUGGCAUAUCAUCUCAUACGGACAACACCGCAGGAGAGUUUUUUUAUAUUUGAACAAUUCAGCUUCGCUUCAAAGAAAGUUGGAUGCAUUGGAAAAAAAAUUUAAGCUCACCGUUUGGACUUACGGAAGAUAUUGAAAAUGCU
This 504-nucleotide long non-coding RNA is filed under the name Diabrotica virgifera virgifera (western corn rootworm). RNAcentral describes it as "uncharacterized LOC126889317". The record is from RNAcentral. Lineage: Eukaryota; Metazoa; Arthropoda; Insecta; Coleoptera; Chrysomelidae.